GGUCUCUUGGCCAAGUGGGUGAAGGCAGUGGUUUUAUGGGCCACCGAUCGUGGGUUCGAGCCCCACAGGGACCA
This 74-nucleotide transfer RNA is filed under the name Opitutaceae bacterium. Its description in RNAcentral is "tRNA-Ile". It matches the Rfam family "tRNA". Rfam says of the family: Transfer RNA (tRNA) molecules are approximately 80 nucleotides in length. Their secondary structure includes four short double-helical elements and three loops (D, anti-codon, and T loops). The record is from RNAcentral. Lineage: Bacteria; Pseudomonadati; Verrucomicrobiota; Opitutia; Opitutales; Opitutaceae.